Maylandia zebra (zebra mbuna) is the source of this 318-nucleotide non-coding RNA. Lineage: Eukaryota; Metazoa; Chordata; Actinopteri; Cichliformes; Cichlidae. The record is from RefSeq and is a predicted model, not a curated record.
UAAAGUAGAGUCCAACUGCUCCCUGGACCCUCUGCAGUACCUCAACACUGAUCAAACCCAGGCCACGGUCAAGCUGGCUGCAGGACACAAGUUUGACAGAGAUGUUGAACUGCUGAUUUAUUACAAAGACGCCCACCAGCCCACUGCUGUGGUGGAGGCAGGACAGGCCUCUGCUGAGCCGGGACAGUCCUCUGCUCCUGUUGAAGAGUUUACCAAUGGGCUGCUAUUCAAACAUUUUACAGUUUGGGGUCUCGUUGUGAACACAUCUUCCCGUGUUUCUCUUUUGGGAUUGGGGAAGGGGCCAGCUCUGCUCUCAUC